AGAGGACCCGGAGCAUUAUCUGAAUGAACUAAUGACCAACAGGCGGGCAGAAAUGAGUGCUGCGGAUUGAUAACAGGGACAGCCAGACCCCCUCCCAUCCCCACGAGGCAGAGGCACCAGGCCACCUGGCUUUCCCACACAUCAACCUCGUGCUCACACCCCACUCUGGAGACCACCAGCUUCGAGGCAAAAAGAGAGAACGACGUACAAUGGGGUAAAGCCUCCAUGUGUAGGCGAUGUUGUGAGGAAAGGGUGGCCGGUUGGAAGGGAACAUUUUUAAAUUGAGGUUAUUGUUUAUAUUUUCUCAUAAACAGCUUCUCUGUGGCCACAAGUUAUUUCGGUCAUUUUCACAGCUUCCUCAGAUAUCUGGAAAACCUUUCGACUCAUUAUUAAAAAAUAAAACAAGAUUACUUACUAAAACUUGGCCAAAAGCAUGGAAGAGCCUCCUUUUCAGAAAAUGACAGGAAAGUAGAUUUCUUAUCUAAAAGAGAAAUAUUAGGCUGGGCACAGUGGCUCACACCUGUAAUCCCAGCACUUUGGGAGGCCAAGGCAGGUGGAUCACCUGAGGUCAGGAGUUUGAAACCAGCCUGAAUAUGAUGACACCCCGUCUCUACGAAAAGUACAAAAAUUAGCUGGGCUUGGUGGCGGCCACCUAUAGUCCCAGCUACUCAGGAGGCUGAGACAGGAGAAUUCCUUGAACCCGGGAGGCGGAGGCUGCAGUGAGCCGAGAUCGCGCCACUGCACUCCAGACUGGGCAACAGAGCAAGACUCUGUCUCUAAAUAAAUAAAUUAAUUAAAUCGAAUUAAAUUAAAUAAGAGAAAUAUUAGGUUGAAAUCCUGUUCCUUAUGGGUCAAGCUAAUUCUUUUCAGUAUAUUAAAUAAUUUUUUUCCUUCUAUUUUUUUCCCUUUCCUUUCCAAAUCCCCCAGCAUCUUCCCUCAUCCACCCCAUUUCAAAGAGGGUUCUGCUUGCAGGAACUCAAAGCUCAGAGCUUUUAGCUUCCCAAAGCCCUAUUUCCAAACUAAAGCAAAGGUCCUUUAGAAUUUGCACGGCGGGCUGUGCAAAAUGAGAGAGAAGGAAAUCGCUGGCAGAAAUAUCCCCGAAGAAGGGAUUUCUCCCCCAAAGACCAGAAAGCAAUUCUUCUAGGUUAGGGGAAUGAGGAGACAUACAGAGAAAACAAGAGGCUUGGGAGUUCCUCAUGAAAGGACUGGACCUGGAGUGGCCAUGCAGGAGAGGUGCAAGGGACUUGGAGCCCCUGAAGCUUCAGGAGAGCUGCGUGGCCCAUGUCCUGCUGCACCGGCAGCCAUCACGCCCAUGAGCCCUGCCUGUGUCCAGAAACAGUGCUGCUGUCCUUGACCUCGUCACUCUGCAAGGACUUCGCUUCCCCAGCAGGCAGUUCACCUCUGGAUACCCCUCCCUGAUGCAAACUUUGCUCAUGUCAUGUCUAUCAAGAUCAAGAAAAUGGAGCCCAUAACUGAGAUCAGCACAUGGGUAAGGAAACUGCUGAAUGGAAGGAGCUCCAAGACCUGGAACUGAGACCGAAGCUGGCAACAUGGCGGGAUGUUGCACCCCCCACACACACGCUCACACGUGGUUUUCAUUCCUUCUUUCAUAUUACGGCGGGCGUGGAAUUACCAGUCAAUUUGACAUUUAUAAAUACAUUAACUAGCGCUUCCAAUUCUUCUCCUGCUUCCAAGUUUGUUCUCACCACCUCACAGAAAAUGCUGGGGACAGAAUUAAAUGCAGAGUAAUCUAAACAAGCUUUGAUAUGUCAUAUGUCUUUCCUACUGAAUAAGCUAAACCAACCAGGGUAAUUUAGUGAUACUUGGGCAAGAAAACUAGGAAUUACGCACACUUUCCUUUUCCAAAUUCCCCACAUGGAAGUCUGUGAAUUCUACUGCAAUUACAGUGGUAUAAUAAAAAAGAUAUGCUUGGCU
Molecule: long non-coding RNA, 1935 nt
Filed under: Homo sapiens (human)
Lineage: Eukaryota; Metazoa; Chordata; Mammalia; Primates; Hominidae
Description: HSALNT0325383
Source: RNAcentral